RNAcentral lists this ribosomal RNA (910 nucleotides) under Westerdykella dispersa. Its description in RNAcentral is "LSU rRNA". It matches the Rfam family "Eukaryotic large subunit ribosomal RNA", at positions 36 to 964 of the family's 3401-position model. The record is from RNAcentral. Lineage: Eukaryota; Fungi; Ascomycota; Dothideomycetes; Pleosporales; Sporormiaceae.
AAGCAUAUCAAUAAGCGGAGGAAAAGAAACCAACAGGGAUUGCCCUAGUAACGGCGAGUGAAGCGGCAACAGCUCAAAUUUGAAAUCUGGCCCUCUCAGGGUCCGAGUUGUAAUUUGCAGAGGGUGCUUUGGCGAUGGCUGUGGUCUAAGUUCCUUGGAACAGGACGUCACAGAGGGUGAGAAUCCCGUACGUGGCCGCCAGCCUCCGCCGUGUAAAGCCCCUUCGACGAGUCGAGUUGUUUGGGAAUGCAGCUCUAAAUGGGAGGUAAAUUCCUUCUAAAGCUAAAUACUGGCCAGAGACCGAUAGCGCACAAGUAGAGUGAUCGAAAGAUGAAAAGCACUUUGGAAAGAGAGUCAAAAAGCACGUGAAAUUGUUGAAAGGGAAGCGCUUGCAGCCAGACAUGCCUGUAGUUGCUCACCGGGGCUCUUGCCCUGGGCACUCUUCUACGGGCAGGCCAGCAUCAGUCCGGGCGGUUGGAUAAAUGCCUGCUACAUGUACCUCUCUUCGGGGAGGACUUAUAGGGUAGGCGACAUACAGCCAGCCUGGACUGAGGUCCGCGCAUCUGCUAGGAUGCUGGCGUAAUGGCUGUAAGCGGCCCGUCUUGAAACACGGACCAAGGAGUCUAACAUCUAUGCGAGUGUUUGGGUGUAAAGCCCGAGCGCGGAAUGAAAGUGAACGGAGGUGGGAACCCCUCGGGGUGCACCAUCGACCGAUCCUGAUGUCUUCGGAUGGAUUUGAGUAUGAGCAUAGCUGUUGGGACCCGAAAGAUGGUGAACUAUGCCUGAAUAGGGUGAAGCCAGAGGAAACUCUGGUGGAGGCUCGCAGCGGUUCUGACGUGCAAAUCGAUCGUCAAAUUUGGGCAUAGGGGCGAAAGACUAAUCGAACCAUCUAGUAGCUGGUUCCUGCCGA